RNAcentral lists this ribosomal RNA (521 nucleotides) under Lunulospora curvula. RNAcentral's name for it is "eukaryotic LSU rRNA". The stretch from base 176 to 329 matches the Rfam family "5.8S ribosomal RNA". Lineage: Eukaryota; Fungi; Ascomycota. The record is from RNAcentral.
AGGGAUCAUUACAGAGUUAUACAACUCCUACACACUUCGUGAACCUUACCGUCGCGGUUGCUUCGGCGGGUGGCCCGGGGAGGGGCCGCUGCCGGUGGGGGCGCCCCGCCGAAGCUCCGGACUCUAUAACCGUAUCGUUAUCUCGUACCUCUGAGCUACAAAACAAAUAAGUCAAAACUUUCAACAACGGAUCUCUUGGCUCUGGCAUCGAUGAAGAACGCAGCGAAAUGCGAUAAGUAAUGUGAAUUGCAGAACUCAGCGAAUCAUCGAAUCUUUGAACGCACAUUGCGCCCGCCAGUAUUCUGGCGGGCAUGCCUGUCCGAGCGUCAUUUCAACCCUCAAGCUCUGCUUGGUGUUGGGGCCCUACGGCUGCCGUAGGCCCCGAAAAUUAGUGGCGGACCCGCCGCGGCUCCGAGCGCAGUAGCUUACCUCGCUUGUAGUCCCGCGGCGUGCACUUGCCGUUAACCACCCAAUUUUUCAAGGUUGACCUCGGAUCAGGUAGGAAUACCCGCUGAACUUAA